Anolis carolinensis (green anole) is the source of this 80-nucleotide microRNA precursor. The record is from Ensembl. Lineage: Eukaryota; Metazoa; Chordata; Lepidosauria; Squamata; Anolidae.
AGAUGCAGAUUUGGAUGGUUGUUGCCCGGUGGGUGGGGCUACAGGCCCAGGGUCGGCUGCCAGGAUGGCUCUCGCGCUCU